UCAAUAGUGAAUUUGUCUAUGUGGGAACAUAACAGAGUCUCCACCCUUAGCACCAGGUCAGCCUGAAUCUGACUGUCCUUCUCAAGGUAUACAUUUUUGGAAGAAUUCAUUUACCUGAGGACGUGUGCAGGAGAAAUAAAGCAUUAAUACAACUGUGGUGAAACUGAUUCUGUAACAGUGCACUGACAACAAACUAGUAAGAAAAUGCUGGGUGUGGUGCCCCUGGACUCACCUGUUCGUCGUUAUUGUAACGAGGGAGAGCUGUGAAAUCAGAGAGCAAGUGUUGGACGGGAAGAAGUUGCCAUUUUGUAGCCUGGUCGGAAAGAAAAGGUUGCAGUCUGCAUUGAGCUUGGACUUAAGACCAGCAUGGAUGUGGAAAGGGGUGCUUGAGAAGAGAUCAGUUGGCUGUGAGGAACAGCGUGGAGGCUUCUGAGGCAGCCUGCUUUGUGGUACCAGGCUUUGGGAUUUCUUUUCUACCUGUGUAAACAGGUGAAGUGGAGGCAGCCCGUGAAGUGCUGGGGGAGAGUGAGAUGAUUUCAUGUUUGCCUGGAUACAAGAUCUACUUGUAUGACAUAUCAAAAGCGUUCAGUAAUAGCUCUGCAGGCUUUUUCCUGCAGAACAGCACCAGUUUGGGAACAGCUUCACUGGGCUAAAACUCAGUUGCUCUGUGUGGCAGAGGGCAGCAAGGUGAGCCAACACUCCGCAGCACAUCUGUGUUCAUUCAGACAGGCAUUGGACAGAAGGAUGUUAAAAAAUAAUUAUACGUCCCCUACCCUGUCUUUAAAUAUUCAAAGAAAAAGUCACGGAAGAACUGAUAAUGUAACAAUAAUAAUGAGGCAGAAGAACAGCACUGUAGCGUGAACUCAUAUAUCCCUUGGUUUCAUUUACAUGUGUAGCAGCUGCUUGUUUCUCCAUCAUAGAAAGAUCAUUACCUGGCUUGUAAGGAGAGAGGGGAAGUCUGUUCACCUGUAGGCAACUAGCUCUGCAUCUAUGAAUAGUUCUUCCCCAUCUCAUUACACGUGUAAUUGCUGCAUUAUAAUUUAUUCAUUCAUUGAUUUAAUGUAAUAGAUGAGUAGAAAGAAAAUUACCUUUGCAAAUGAAUUUGAUAGGUGGGAAAUCUGCACGGUUUGAAGCAAAAAACACCAACAAACACCACAAAAAGCCCCACAGAACAUUCAGUGUGCACUGUGAGGUGCCUAGUGGAUGGCAGCGCAGUGUGUGAGCACUGAAAACAGUCUGGGCUCCUUAGAAAGUGAAGGUGAAUCCAGCCGACUCCAGUGCUGGUGCAAAAGAAAAGGCUGUGGAACUUAACUUACAGGCAGUUUAUAUUUACAUUCUCAGAUAUGUGAUUUCUUGAUGAAAUGGGGAGGCAGCUGAAAAUGAGUGAUAAACAGGACGAGAAGAGGACUCAAACAUUGGAAACACAAAGGUAGGAAGUUUGCAAACCAUCUGGAGAAACCGAGGCUGCCUUUCUGUUAGUUGCAGCCCUCCCAUUUACAAACAGUGUAUUGACAUCACUCCUGCCUGCCGUCAGGCUCUGACUGCUUUCCCUGGCUGGGCUGGGCUGCACGGGAGGUCGCCACAAGACAUUUCUGAGUCAUGUGCUGCAGGUGAGACACUGAGCAUCACCAUCCUGCUGAGCAGGACAGGGGCGUUAAGGGCAGGGGAGGAACAGCCCCAUCAGCCCUGCAGCCCAGCACAGGAGGGGCAGCGCUGCGGCCUCACCCACUGGCACAGCAUUAUGGAAGGAUGGAGUGGGGGGGCAGCUGACUGCAUCAUUGUACUCACAGCUCGUGAGCAGCUGCAGCACUGCUGUGUGCUGGGGUGUGCAUGGGCCGAGCCGGCCAGGACAAGCACGUAA
Molecule: long non-coding RNA, 1861 nt
Filed under: Coturnix japonica (Japanese quail)
Lineage: Eukaryota; Metazoa; Chordata; Aves; Galliformes; Phasianidae
Description: lncRNA (ENSCJPG00005014346.1)
Source: RNAcentral